GAUGAACGCUGGCGGCGUGCUUAACACAUGCAAGUCGAACGGUGAAGGCGGAGCUUGCUCUGCUGGAUCAGUGGCGAACGGGUGAGUAACACGUGAGCAAUCUGCCCCUGACUCUGGGAUAAGCGCUGGAACCGGCGUCUAAUACUGGAUACGAGCUGCGAAGGCAUCUUCAGCAGCUGGAAAGAAUUUCGGUCAGGGAUGAGCUCGCGGCCUAUCAGCUUGUUGGUGAGGUAAUGGCUCACCAAGGCGUCGACGGGUAGCCGGCCUGAGAGGGUGACCGGCCACACUGGGACUGAGACACGGCCCAGACUCCUACGGGAGGCAGCAGUGGGGAAUAUUGCACAAUGGGCGAAAGCCUGAUGCAGCAACGCCGCGUGAGGGACGACGGCCUUCGGGUUGUAAACCUCUUUUAGCAGGGAAGAAGCGAAAGUGACGGUACCUGCAGAAAAAGCGCCGGCUAACUACGUG
This 468-nucleotide ribosomal RNA is filed under the name uncultured bacterium. RNAcentral's name for it is "partial 16S ribosomal RNA". It matches the Rfam family "Bacterial small subunit ribosomal RNA", at positions 28 to 507 of the family's 1533-position model. The record is from RNAcentral.